AGUUCUUUGCUUACACAUUUACACGUAUGGCAAUUGGAAUUUUUUUUUUUUUACAGACUACGUUCUGAUUCCCUAUACUUCAAACUUGGUUUCUUCUUCACCCUGGAUACUUGCAGAGCCGGGCACCACUCAUGUGAUAAUGCCAGGCUGGAUUCUCUAGAAGCAGAUGCUGGGAGGCUAUUUGGGGUACAAGGUGUUCGUUAGGAAUCAACAGCUGUGUUGGGAAGGAGAGGACACAGGAUCGCACAAAGUCAACAGUGCUGUAGAGAGCCCUCCAGAGGGUAGCAUUUGUCAGAGUGUUCUCCAUUGGGCUGAAACACCUGGGCAUUCAUGUUCUUCUCACUCAAUCACCAGUUUCAGCUCUCAAAAAGAAACAAAGUUUGAUGGUGAACAAAAUGCAAAGAUCAGGAGGACCCAGAGCCCAGAAAGCAAUAUAGAGGGGGAAUCCCUGGGAAGAGAAGAGGGCACGGCGCUGAGAGCACCUUCUAAUUAGGUUAUGGAUCCUUGAUCAAGUUGGGCUGGAGCAAGGGAAAGCCUUGAUCAUGCCAAAGAAGUCGCUGUGGCCCAAUGGACAACAUUUUUCUGCAUGAAUUAACAUAUCAGUGUCUGUGUUGUAGAAGAAUCUUGGUGGAAAAAUUCUACAGAUCUGAGAUCUUUAACAACACCAUGUGAUGAUUAUUACUGCUUAUGGGCAGCAAGUGGGAGUAGCAAACUGUGAUAUUGGCAAAAGAAAGCUGAUAUUCUUCUUUCCAGAAGGUAUACUACAUCAAAGACGGAAAAAAAAAGGUAACCCCAGCAAAAACUUUUGCCCAAACUCUCUUUGUUUACAGUCUCUGCUGGAUUGAUUUCGAUGCUUCUAUUACAGAAAUGCAAGAAACUUGUCCUUCUGUGUCCUGUAGAACAUGACAGAGGAGACUUAUGGCUGAACAUCAGCACAGACCCAUCAUUAGUUUCUCCUUUAAAAGAGGUCAAUAUAAAGACUCAAAAACAUGGAGAAAAACUGCCCACCUGGCCUGCAGCAACUUGGCUACAAUGCAUGGAUAACUCCUUUUCUUAUGUGUCCUCAAAUCAUUAAAUGGUUAGCUCUCAGCUCAGAAUGCAGCAUCAUUUUGGACACUUAAAGAUUCUCACUUCAAGUCUGUGAUGAUUGGUGGGCAAAAGUCUAACAGGUAAUGCCUAGUAUAGAGUAAUUGUCCAUUAAAUGUUUGUUGGAUGACAGUUCCUAUACCUUGAUUGUUUCCUCCCUGAAAUCCUACCACACUUGUGUCACAAAAGUAAUAGUGUAUACAGAUUAACCUUUUUUAUCUUGCUUAUUCUUACCUACUAGACUAUACAUUCAUUAAAUCCACAGAUUAUAUGUCCUUGUAUCUUUGCUGUUGGUGUACUGCCUGGUACCCAUCAGGUAUUCCAGUGAUCUUGUUUCUGCAGUUAGGUUAUUAAAAGGUUCAUGAGUAGCAUCUAUAAUAAGUCUUUUAUGUACCUCUCAAUAUUUAAGACAGAGUUGUUCCAUGCAGUUGGCACACAAUAAAUGUUACUGACAAUGACACUGAGGGAUUGAGAAGAAAAAAAUUCACCUUUCUUGAGAUUCUGAGCCUGUAUCUAUCUUGGCUAAGUAAUUAUGCAGAUAAUUAAGGCUAAAAAGAAACUUGCUGUUUUCAUUUGCACGGAACUGCCAGGAGUCUAGGUCUGCGGUGAUCAAAGUCUCUAGGUGAUGGUUUAACUCCUUGUCUCCCCAACCUUUACAGACAAACCCAUAGCACUGAGCCAUCCCAGAGAGCCAAAAAGAGCUAGAGUUAAAAUAACAGUCGAGCGUCGGAUUUAAGAGGGAGAGACAAAGAGAAUAGAGAUGUCAUUUUUAUCUUUAGAAAAAUGAUCACCUCACUUGCUGCAUUUUGGUAAAUGGUCAGUAGAUGCCUAUGAAGAUAAUGAUGAAAAUGCUGAAUGAAAUUGCUGAGCGAGGUCAAGAGUGGACUGUGGGAGAUAGGUAUUUGGUAUUUGCUGUUAAGAUAAAGGAUGGCCCUCACUCUCACCUUCCCCCCACUUUCCCCAUUUAUUGCCAACUAUGAAGUCUUUUCUAAUUGUCCUUUUUAGGGAAACCCUGUCUACUAGGCACUCGGAGAAAAAUUAAAGCCUGGGAGGGAAGCAAUAAUGCUAGUGUUUCCAGGCACACAGAAAAGAAGAGACCACUCCAGGUCCACGCAAAUGUGAGGAACAGAAAAUGAGAGAUGGGCUGGGUGAGGAUCCCUGGGAUCCAGGGGCUGUAGGUCAGUAAAAACGGGCUGCUUUUGUAAAGACCUCCUCUCUGGAUGUCGGGUCGUUUCUCCCACACAGCCACCAAACAAGGCAAGCAUUCGCUUAACACUUUUUUCUUUCCUUUCUUUUUCUUUUUGGUCAUUAACUAAGGCAUUUAUUAAAUAUUUUUACAACAGGCCCUCACAUGUAUGGUUUCAGUGCAUAUGUGGUGUACGUGUAAACACUGCUGCAUUAAAUUUAAAAUUACAGUGAACUUUGUCAAGAGUGCGUGGAGAAAUGUCAAAUAACUGCUAUGGAAAAUAAGGUUAUAUAGUUCUUCCUUAAUAUAAUAGAUCUUAAUGUUGGUUCUCUUAUAUGUUUAAAAUAAGAAUUACUACAACAACAAAAAAAACCCCACAGAAGUAUCUCAUCCAUUACUGUUAAAUGCUGGUGAACAUCAUAUGGGUUAUAAUUUUAAUAUUUUUUUAUUUUGCAAUGUAUUAAAUAAUUAUUCUUGUGCAAUAACUACAUGCAUUUAGAGUGUGCAAUUCAAAGAGGAGGUCAUGGGAAUCCCAACUUGAAGCCAGUGGGUCAGAAUUUCCUGAGGCCUAGACUUGCAACUGGUGUCUAAGGGGGCAUAGUCUUGGGGACUGAGCUCUUGGCCUGUGGUAUCUGACACUGUCUCCAAGUACAUAGUGUCAGAAUUUAAUUGGAGGAUACUCAGCUGGUGUCCACUGCUGGUUGGUGGAGAAAAACCUCCACACAUUGGGCUACAGGAGUCUUCUGUGUUGAUUGCUUGUGGUAUGAGAGCAGAGGAAAAACCUGGUUUGAGAGUUUUUCCAAAACUUAAUUUUUUUUUUUUUUUGUAGACAGGGUCUCACUCUGUCACCUAGCCUGGAGUGCAGUGGCACAAUCUUGGCUCACUGCAACCUCCACCUCCCAGGUUCAAGCGAUUCUCCUGCCUCAGCCUCCAAAGUAGCUGGGAUUACAGGCGCAUGCCACCACACCUGGCUAAUUUUUGUAUUUUUAGUAGAGAUGGGGUUUCACCGUGUUGGCCAGGCUGGUCUCGAACUCCUGACCUCAGGUGAUCCGCCCGCCUAGGCCUCCCAAAGUGCUGGGAUUACAGGCAUAAGCCACCAUGCCUGGCUCCAAAAUUUUAAUAUUUAAGGUGCUGGAUAUCCUAAUUACUUUGAUUUCAUUAUUAAAAUGUAUCAGAUUACCCCAUAUACACCAAAAAUAUGUAUAUCUUAUAUGUAAAUAAAAUAAAUAAAAAUAAUUAUGGUAAAUCUUAAAAAGUGUGUGCAAUUCAUGAGUUUUGACAGUGGCAUACACCCACAAAAGUGCCACCACAAUCAGGAUUCAGAACGUGUUUAUCA
This 3608-nucleotide long non-coding RNA is filed under the name Pan paniscus (pygmy chimpanzee). RNAcentral describes it as "lncRNA (ENSPPAG00000044990.1)". The record is from RNAcentral. Lineage: Eukaryota; Metazoa; Chordata; Mammalia; Primates; Hominidae.